Molecule: ribosomal RNA, 477 nt
Filed under: uncultured bacterium
Lineage: Bacteria
Description: bacterial SSU rRNA
Rfam family: Bacterial small subunit ribosomal RNA
Source: RNAcentral
UGAACGCUGGCGGCGUGCUUAACACAUGCAAGUCGAGCGAAGCAAUUUAAGUGAAGUUUUCGGAUGGAUCUUAAAUUGACUGAGCGGCGGACGGGUGAGUAACGCGUGGAUAACCUGCCUCACACAGGGGGAUAACAGUUAGAAAUGACUGCUAAUACCGCAUAAGCGCACGGUACCGCAUGGUACAGUGUGAAAAACUCCGGUGGUGUGAGAUGGAUCCGCGUCUGAUUAGGUAGUUGGUGAGGUAACGGCCCACCAAGCCGACGAUCAGUAGCCGACCUGAGAGGGUGACCGGCCACAUUGGGACUGAGACACGGCCCAAACUCCUACGGGAGGCAGCAGUGGGGAAUAUUGCACAAUGGGCGAAAGCCUGAUGCAGCAACGCCGCGUGAGUGAAGAAGUAUCUCGGUAUGUAAAGCUCUAUCAGCAGGGAAGAAAAUGACGGUACCUGACUAAGAAGCCCCGGCUAACUACGUG